AACCGCCCGGUGCGGACCCGCAUGCCGGGUGGUGUGGGAGGGGCGCGAUCAUCGAUCGCCCCCUAUCCCGAU
This 72-nucleotide non-coding RNA is filed under the name Burkholderia pyrrocinia. The record is from RNAcentral. Lineage: Bacteria; Pseudomonadati; Pseudomonadota; Betaproteobacteria; Burkholderiales; Burkholderiaceae. RNAcentral also lists the same sequence under 2 other names.